Molecule: ribosomal RNA, 459 nt
Filed under: Actinomyces graevenitzii
Lineage: Bacteria; Bacillati; Actinomycetota; Actinomycetes; Actinomycetales; Actinomycetaceae
Description: partial 23S ribosomal RNA
Rfam family: Bacterial large subunit ribosomal RNA
Source: RNAcentral
AAUAGAAAGUAAUUAAGGGCGUAUGGCGGAUGCCUAGGCUCACGGAGGCGAUGAAGGACGUGAUAAGCUGCGAUAAGCCUCGGGUAGAUGCAAAUAAUCUUUGAUCCGAGGAUUUCCGAAUGGGACAACCUGACUGUCUGAAUGAUAGUCACCCAUAUAUUUUUUAUGGGAGCAAACGCAGGGAACUGAAACAUCUUAGUACCUGUAGGAAAAGAAAAUAAUUUAAUGAUUCCCCUAGUAGUGGCGAGCGAACGGGGAAAAGCCCAAACCUAUGACGUAGCAAUGCGUGAUAGGGGUAGUAGGGUCACGAUAUCGUACUUUGAAAGUGAGGAGAAUGUUCUGGAAAGUUCAAUAAUAUAAGGUGAUAAUCCUGUAUCCGAAGCUUGAUGAGGCGUAGUGAAUCCCUGAGUAGUGCGGAGCACGAGUAAUUCUGCAUGAAUCUGCCGGGACCAUCCGGUA